Molecule: long non-coding RNA, 1034 nt
Organism: Rhincodon typus (whale shark)
Lineage: Eukaryota; Metazoa; Chordata; Chondrichthyes; Orectolobiformes; Rhincodontidae
Exons: 2
Source: RefSeq, a predicted model, not a curated record
AUUUUUCAUCGUACAUACAACCAGGAGGGGAAAGAAAUCACAACAACCCAGCAAGAGAUAUGAACGACCUGGACUGGACGCUUUGUUUCAUCACAAAGUGAAAAUCUCCUGGAAACAGAAAGGAGAUGGGGGAGGGACGAAAACUCCUGACAACUAAACUCUCGCUAAAAACUCGGCCAGAAACUCUCUACCGCCUCCUCACUCAGAUCAUCCAGAAAAAAUGGUGCCUUAAUUUGUUGUCUCCUCCCAAAGCAGCUAAGGGGCAACGGGAAAAACAUACAGCACAUGCCAUAGAGAUGACAGGAUGUAUCACGAGGUGCUGUGGUGUGUCUAUAUCUAACCAUGGAAUCGUUAAAAUUAAAAGUGCAAAAGUUGGACGAGAAGAGGACAGACACGUUCAUGCUUCUCGCCAAAGGUUAAACUGAGCAUUAUCGUUAUGAAAACAGCGGAUUUCAACAUUUUCCAUUUGUUUACGAAGUUUAUAUAUAUAUAAAUGAAACUCCAAAACGCUUAUUUUUAAAAAUACAAAUAGCCAAACUGUUAGUGAAAUUCAGAAAUAAUGAUGAAUUAAGAGGAAUGAGUGUGGCACUAUCAACAAUAAUGUUACAGUUCUAAGGAAAAUCCAUGCUCCAAACUACAAGGGAGCACAGGUUCAAGGUGAGAGGGGCAAAUUUUUCACACAGAUGGUGAUGGGUGCCUGGAAUGUACUGCCAGUGGAGGUGAUGGGAGCAGGCACGUUAGUAACGUUUAAGGCGUAUCUUGACAGACACAUGAAUGGAAGGUGAAAAGAGGGAUUGGAAUCGACGCAGGCUUGGUGGGCCAAAGGGCCUGUUUCUGUGCUGUAUUGUAUUGUAUAAAUGGUUCCAUCACUGAAUGUGUUUGUAUUUAAAUGAGGAACAGAGGGUGGGCUGUUGCAUUCUUGACAUUUUUUUAGAACUCCCAAUAGUGAAAAAGAGAUAGGUAAACAAUUUAGUUGCCAGAUUUCAUUGAAAAUGAAAAAAAAGUUAAAUAAAAUAUUUUACUUUUGUCUUUUU